UACGUAGGGGGCGAGCGUUGUCCGGAUUUAUUGGGCGUAAAGAGCUCGUAGGCGGUUUGGUAAGUCGGGUGUGAAAUCUCCACGCUCAACGUGGAGGGGCCACUCGAUACUGCCAUGACUCGAGUCCGGUAGAGGAGUGUGGAAUUCCCGGUGUAGCGGUGAAAUGCGCAGAUAUCAGGAGGAACACCGGUGGCGAAGGCGGGACUCUGGGCCGAUACUGACGCUGAGGUGCGAAAGCGUGGGGAGCAAACAGG
RNAcentral lists this ribosomal RNA (254 nucleotides) under uncultured bacterium. RNAcentral describes it as "partial 16S ribosomal RNA". It matches the Rfam family "Bacterial small subunit ribosomal RNA", at positions 524 to 776 of the family's 1533-position model. The record is from RNAcentral.